This 443-nucleotide ribosomal RNA is filed under the name uncultured bacterium. RNAcentral's name for it is "bacterial SSU rRNA". It matches the Rfam family "Bacterial small subunit ribosomal RNA", at positions 28 to 492 of the family's 1533-position model. The record is from RNAcentral.
GACGAACGCUGGCGGCGUGCUUAACACAUGCAAGUCGAACGGUAAGGCCCUUCGGGGUACACGAGUGGCGAACGGGUGAGUAACACGUGGGUGAUCUGCCCUGCACUUCGGGAUAAGCCUGGGAAACUGGGUCUAAUACCGGAUAGGACCAUGGACUUCACGGUUUGUGGUGGAAAGCUUUUGCGGUGUGGGAUGGGCCCGCGGCCUAUCAGCUUGUUGGUGGGGUAAUGGCCUACCAAGGCGACGACGGGUAGCCGGCCUGAGAGGGUGUCCGGCCACACUGGGACUGAGAUACGGCCCAGACUCCUACGGGAGGCAGCAGUGGGGAAUAUUGCACAAUGGGCGCAAGCCUGAUGCAGCGACGCCGCGUGAGGGAUGACGGCCUCGGUUGUAACCUCUUCAAUAGGGACGAAGCGCAAGUGACGGUACCUAUAGAAGAAGAC